RNAcentral lists this ribosomal RNA (482 nucleotides) under uncultured bacterium. RNAcentral describes it as "partial 16S ribosomal RNA". It matches the Rfam family "Bacterial small subunit ribosomal RNA", at positions 30 to 507 of the family's 1533-position model. The record is from RNAcentral.
AUUGAGCGCUGGCGGCAUGAUUUACACAUGCAAGUCGAACGGUAACAGGCCGCAAGGUGCUGACGAGUGGCGAACGGGUGAGUAAUGCAUCGGAACGUGCCCAGUCGUGGGGGAUAACUACUCGAAAGAGUAGCUAAUACCGCAUACGAUCUAUGGAUGAAAGCGGGGGACCGUAAGGCCUCGCGCGAUUGGAGCGGCCGAUGUCAGAUUAGGUAGUUGGUGGGGUAAAGGCUCACCAAGCCAACGAUCUGUAGCUGGUCUGAGAGGACGACCAGCCACACUGGGACUGAGACACGGCCCAGACUCCUACGGGAGGCAGCAGUGGGGAAUUUUGGACAAUGGGCGCAAGCCUGAUCCAGCAAUGCCGCGUGCAGGAAGAAGGCCUUCGGGUUGUAAACUGCUUUUGUACGGAACGAAACGGCUCUGGUUAAUACCCGGGGCUAAUGACGGUACCGUAAGAAUAAGCACCGGCUAACUACGUG